This 2808-nucleotide long non-coding RNA is filed under the name Panax ginseng (ginseng). RNAcentral's name for it is "long non-coding RNA (PGIN_LNC013692)". The record is from RNAcentral. Lineage: Eukaryota; Viridiplantae; Streptophyta; Magnoliopsida; Apiales; Araliaceae.
AAUAAAAUGCCACUAAGUGUGUGGUAACGAAAAAAAGAAAAAGAAAACGGCAGAGCAUGAAUCAAUCCUGAUUCUCUUUACUAGUUCAGCCCAUUCAUUCCCUUCCAUUUCGUUCCUUUCUCUUACUCCUUCAUAGUAAUUGCACCUCAAAAGUAUAUUCAAUUUUUCUCCCUUUCGGCUAAAAUUACAGAAUUAAGUGCGAAAUUGAAUGGGGUCGCUGUUUCGAAUGAGCUGAGCAUAAAGGGGGUUGAUCAAGGUGAUUUUAAGAGGAUAUAGUUCUAGCUAAUUCAAAGCAAACAAAAGGUUAGUACUUUGCUUAUAAAUAUUUCAUAUGAAGUUACAAAGUUAGUUUUAGAAAGUUUAUAAUAAUUAGUUGAUGUGAUAUGAGAGGUGGCUUAAACGAUUGUGAAUUGGAAGCAAAGAAGUUUAGGUUGGGUUGUGAGGAGUAAUAAGGUGGAAAAAAUGAGGCUAAAACUCAUACCAAACCUCAAGAAAUUUGAACUUUGAAAGAAGUCACACAUAGUGUUUGACAAAAGUCCUAUAUGGAUUGUUUUACUUAAAAACCAAGAAUUGAUAAAGCCAAAGUUAAGAUUGCAUGUAUGAACAUCUUAUACAGUUAGUUAAAAAUUUAUAAGGAAUCAAACUAGAACGAAAAAUGAUUUAAAGCUAAAACAAGAAAUCAAAAGUUAGUUUGUCGGGCUACUUUUGGGCUAACUGUUUCGGCUAGUUAGACUUUCUGGAAAAUUAUAAUUUUCUGGGGACUUGUAGUGUGCUGUCCCAGCUAUUCGUAGCCUUCGGAACGGACUAAUUCCGACUUCGGAGGAGGGAGUUAUGGAAUUCUAAUGUGACUGUGGCGAAUCUGUCCAAAAUUUGGAAAUCAAAUUUGAACCUGUCCCUUGCGCGAAUUUUCUGGAAUUAUGGGUGCAGAAUUUGGAAAAGGCUAUGGAAUAGGAGUUGUAGCCCCGGAAGUUAGCUUCGCGUGGGCUCAAGAAUUGCUUAAAAAUGUUUUGAAACGAAGAAGUUAUGACUGUUUUAGCGAGAGAGGGUAAAGCUGGGAAAAAGUUAAAAACCGUUAUGAUUGGGCAUUUUUAAGGCCUGUUUUGGACUGCCUAAGAUGUCCAAAAUGGGUGGCUUAUAUUUUCUAAAUAUAUUAUCUUAUGGUAUCUACAAUAUAUCCAAAAUUGGGGGAAAACUAACUUACGAAUUAAAAAUUACAAAAUAGUAAAGUGGCCUCGUCGCGAAGAGGGCUGCUGCCCAUAGCAGCAGCGUGCAACAGCAACGCAGUGCAGUGGCAGUGGUUGGAGGCUCUCUUUUGAUCUCUCAGUCGACGUGGUGAAGUUGCUUAUAUAACUUGGUUAGUACCUCUAAAUUUCUAGGAUUGCCUAGCUAAUGUGCUUUGGUAAUAGAUGAAUGUACCACUUGUAUGAUAUCCAAAACUUUAAGACAAAUGAAUCAAAGAUGUGGGGAAUCAAAGUUACGCGAAGUGAGGGACAAGGGAAGCAGCUGCUGCCUAUUGGUAGCAGCAAAUAGCUGCCAUAGCAGUUUUAGGUGGGCUAUUUUAACUCUAGGAUGUAGUUUGAAGAUCUAACCAUAGGGUUGGGUUAAAACUUUCUAAAUAAACAAAUGUAUAGAAUUUACAUCAGAUUCACAAUUUAAAAUAAGUGAAUCUACAAUGGAAUGGCUAGCAAGGUAAAUGUUUAAAAGUUGAGGCUAUAAAAUCAAACAGGGCCAUGAUAAAGGGUUGUUUUGGUAUUAUGAACAAAAACAAGAAUAGUUAAUGCAUUAGUGUGUCAAAAUAAAAUUAUAAAUCAUUGGGAAGACUAAAAGUUAAUCAUGCAAGUUGAAAAUACCUUCAAAGCAUGAAAUGAGCUAAGAGAUCACUUUGUAUGCUAAAAAUUAUGUAAAGGAUCAUGGAAUGCUCAUGUAUUAAGUUCUUGGUAGGGUAUGUAUUAUAAUUGUAAUGUGUUUGCAUACUACAAGCACAUCAAAGCUUAUUGAAGAGAAAAAUGGUUAAUGUAAGAAAAUGAAUGAGGUAUUUGAAAAAUGUAUAUAAGCUUCUCAAAAGCUAAAACCUAAACUAAUCAACAUGGCCAAUGCAAAUGUUUAUUAGCUAUACAGGUUAUAUAUUAUGGACAUGGGCUAAUACAUUCAUAUGUGUGAAUAUGACUGUAUAGGAUUUGUGAAAGGAAGUGAAGUUGUAAUUGUGCAAAGAAAGGCACAGAGGCACUAUACGACAGUAAAUUUGUAAAUAUUUACAUAUUAAGCCUGUAAAUACAUUAUAAAAGGGUUAUAAACUGUAAAUGUAAUGUAUUGACACUUUAAAAGCCGUGUUAGAACUUUUUGAGAAUGUAUGGCUAUAUUAAGCCAAAACUUAAAAUAUUCAAGAGGAAUAUGGAGGUUUCUCGGAAAUAAGAAUAUCAAUUAUUGAUAUAGUUUAUGUAAAUAUUUAUUAGCUAUACAGGUUAUGUAUAUGAAUGUGUGACUAAUGUAUGCAUACAUGUGAACAUAAUUGUGUAGGAUUCGUGAAGUGAAGUUAAACCAAAGUUAGUAUCAAUGGUCAUUUAACGAGGCAAGUUUUUCAGUUCUAUUAUGUUUGUGGAUUAAAUGUGAUUAUAUGGUGAGUUACAUACCAUGUUGUAUGAAUUGUUAAAGUCAAAAUAUGAAUAAGUUAAUUGGGUUAUGGAACUCAAUUUAUAUGUGAUAUGUGAUAGCACAUGAUGUAUGAUGUAACUUGAUAAUUUAGAAAUGUAUAAUGCAUGAAUGUAUGUGUUGUAAGGAAUUAUUGAUGCAUGUAGGAUAUGCAUAGUA